This 253-nucleotide ribosomal RNA is filed under the name uncultured bacterium. RNAcentral describes it as "partial 16S ribosomal RNA". It matches the Rfam family "Bacterial small subunit ribosomal RNA", at positions 524 to 776 of the family's 1533-position model. The record is from RNAcentral.
UACGAAGGGGGCUAGCGUUGCUCGGAAUUACUGAGCGUAAAGGGCGCGUAGGCGGAUAGUUAAGUUAGAGGUGAAAGCCCAGGGCUCAACCUUGGAAUUGCCUUUGAUACUGGCUAUCUUGAGUUCGGGAGAGGUGAGUGGAAUGCCGAGUGUAGAGGUGAAAUUCGUAGAUAUUCGGCGGAACACCAGUGGCGAAGGCGACUCACUGGCCCGAUACUGACGCUGAGGCGCGAAAGCGUGGGGAGCAAACAGG